This 1871-nucleotide long non-coding RNA is filed under the name Fukomys damarensis (Damara mole-rat). Its description in RNAcentral is "lncRNA (ENSFDAG00000028918.1)". Lineage: Eukaryota; Metazoa; Chordata; Mammalia; Rodentia; Bathyergidae. The record is from RNAcentral.
CUUCCUAAAAUAAUGAACAAGUCCACACUAACCAUGGACUAAAUAACUUACCAUGUUUUGUAAACACUUUCUAUGUGUUAUAUGUCAUAUAUAUAACUUAAUCCUAUAGAUCUCCUACCAUUAUUAACCACAUUUUUACAAAGGCAGGACAGGCUCAGUAACAUGUCCAAUUUACUGACCUCAAGUCUGGUCUUAACUAAAAUUGAAGGCAGAUAACAGCUGGAAAGCCUGGGAAAGAAGCCUUGACUUCAAGCCAAAACUGCAUCCAUGACCCUUCAGACUGACAUUUUCCCUAAGAGGCUUCCUCCUCCAGUGUUGAUCAGACUCUUGUUCCAGACUGAAGGAAACACUCUGAAAGACAUAGACUUUACAAGAGCCACAGAUCUCAGGAAAAAAAUUACUGAGUAUUACAGGAGUUUCCUUAGGUGCAAAGGACAAGGCAGAACUAUCUGUUAAGACAGAAAGAAGAGAGAAUCAUCUUCCAAUUAACUCUGACAACAUGAAAGUGCUUCAAAAGAACUUGCUGGAUGUUCCAAAGCCCCCCACAGGGUGCAGUCCCAACCAGGCCACUGGAAUGCAUAAGGACAUUUACCAACCAGACGGUCACGGAACUCGUCAUGGCAAGGUAUCCGCCGCUUUGGCAGAAAAAAGAAGCCCCACCUACCGCUGCCGCUGCCCCCACCAGAUCCAGGUUUAACCCCAACCUUCGUCCCUUUGUCAAUUUGAAGCAGCUCCAGAAGAGACUUUCACCCAAUAACCAUAAAACAAAACCUUAUAAUGUUAGAUUUCCCUUGCCUUAAGAUGGCUGCCACAGGGAAUAGCAGCCUCUAUGUUAAAAUAUGGCGUCUCCCAACAAUGCACAGGCUUCUUCUUCCCAUCAUGCCUCUUCUCCCGCCAAAAGAGUAACCUGAUACUCGCUACCGCCUAGCAGCUGGUGAUGUCAUAAGCCCCGCCUAGUGAUGUCACAGGCUCCUCCAAUCUCUUAAUACUACCUCACUCAACUCCACCCCAGCUCAGGCUAAUCCCACCCCGCUCCUAUAAAAGAAGCUCCCUGUUCUGACAUGUUGCUUUUUCCUCCUUUGUUCAGAGACCUUCUGCUAGAUCCUCCUCAUAAUAAAGGCAUGUUAUGGUUCUGGUCAGCUCUUUUUACCUAACAAUUCCAGCUUUUCCUCAGACAUGCCAAAGAUUUUGAUCUCCAAAACAACCCAGUUGAUGCAGGCUUGCUUUUUAGUGUAGGAAACAUUCAAAAAGGUUUAAAAACUUGCCCAGACUCAUGUAGUUAAGUUGCAAAAUAAACUGGGAUUUAAACCCAGGCCACUCCUGACUCCAUGGCUUCUGAUACUUUUAUAAAGCAAAACAACUUCACUGGGAAGGCUAAGGUCUUAGAUUGCAAGUGCAAAUCCAGAUCCACAGGGCAGAACACAACCUACACCCCUCAUUUCUGAGUUCAAGUAACUCUUAGCCGCUCCUUCCCUAGCUACCCUCCCAAGAAAAAUGACUACCUUUUAAAAGUAUGUCUGGAGAGAGCAAUCCCGGCGCUGCCCGGAGGCGGUGGCCUGGCGUGGGUCCCAGGGUUGAACAUCGCCUUGCGCUGCCUGCGGGAGUAGCCAGGCCCGAGGUCGCAGAGGCGCUGGCAUUGUCCCGGAGCUGGCAGCCUAGCCCUGCGCGAGAGGGCGGCCGGGUCUGCGCUGGUGGACUGGAAGGCUAGUAAACGAGGCCGGCUUGCCCGGGACAAAGGGAGUCUGGGGCUGAGAAGGAGCCCGAGGGUUCAGAGUCUAGUGCUCUUUUCCGCCACGGCCCCCCUGACCAGCGCGUCGGCCGCGGCACUCUCCUCAAACAGCCCACCCGGCCGUGGAGGGCGCGCUGGCGUC